GAUGACCGAUAGAGGAGCAGUACCGUGAGGGAAAGGUGAAAAGGACCCCGGGAGGGGAGUGAAAGAGAACCUGAAACCUUGUGCUUACAAGCAGUCAGAGCACGUUAACGUGUGAUGGCGUACUUUUUGUAGAACGGUCCGGCGAGUUAUAGUAACGAGCAAGCUUAAGGUAUUCAGUACCGGAGGCGAAGCGAAAGCGAGUCUGAAUAGGGCGCAUGAAGUUCGUUGCCAUAGACCCGAAACCGGGUGACCUACGCAUGAGCAGGUUGAAGUGGGGGUGAAACCCCAUGGAGGACCGAACCAACCCCCGUUGCAAUGGUGGUGGAUGACUUGUGUGUAGCGGUGAAAUUCCAAUCGAACUCGGAGAUAGCUGGUUCUCCCCGAAAUAGCUUUAGGGCUAGCGUUAGUUUAGAUUACCGGAGGUAAAGCACUGAAUGGUUUAGGGGCUGAUAAAGUUACCGACGCCUAUCAAACUCUGAAUGCCGGAUAAUUGAUGACUAGCAGUCAGACAGUGUGAGAUAAGUUUCAUUGUCAAAAGGGAAACAGCCCAGACCUACAGCUAAGGUCCCAAAUGUAUGCUAAGUGGAAAACGAUGUGGAGUUGCGAAAACAACCAGGAUGUUGGCUUAGAAGCAGCCACUCAUUAAAAGAGUGCGUAAUAGCUCACUGGUCGAGUGACUCUGCGCGGAAAAUAUAACGGGGCUAAGCGUAACACCGAAGCUUGGGCUGCACAGCAAUGUGCGGGGUAGGGGAGCGUCGAAUAUGGGGUGAAGUCGCAGCGGAAGCAGCGGUGGACUGUAUUCGAGUGAGAAUGCCGGAAUGAGUAGCGAGAAUUAUGUGGGAAUCAUAAUGGCCGAAAAUCUAAGGUUUCUUGGGGAAGGUUCGUCCGCCCAAGGUAAGCCGGGAGCUAAGGCGAGGCCGAAAGGCGUAGUCGAUGCACAUACGGUUGAAAUUCCGUAGCCACCGAAACUUAAACCAGAAGGACACUUGGAGCUAUCCGAACCCGGGCGUUGGUUGACCCGGGCGUAAGGGACCGAAAUUAAGUAGGGAAGUCGGAGAAUGACGAGGCGAGAAAAGUUCUGGUGUAUGCUAAGGUGCCCGUACCGCAAACCGACACAGGUAGAUGAGGAGAGAAUCCUAAGGCCAACGGGAGAAGGGUUGUUAAGGAACUCGGCAAAAUUACCCCGUAACUUCGGGAUAAGGGGAGCCCCCUACGGGGGGCCGCAGAGAAUAGGCCCAAGCGACUGUUUACCAAAAACACAGGUCUAUGCUAAAUCGAAAGAUGACGUAUAUGGGCUGACGCCUGCCCGGUGCUGGAAGGUUAAGAGGAGAGCUUAGCGCAAGCGAAGGUUUGAAUUGAAGCCCCAGUAAACGGCGGCCGUAACUAUAACGGUCCUAAGGUAGCGAAAUUCCUUGUCAGGUAAGUUCUGACCCGCACGAA
This 1440-nucleotide ribosomal RNA is filed under the name human gut metagenome. RNAcentral describes it as "bacterial LSU rRNA". It matches the Rfam family "Bacterial large subunit ribosomal RNA", at positions 479 to 1996 of the family's 2925-position model. The record is from RNAcentral.